CGUCCAAAUAGCUGAAAACGGAGACGCAAACUCAUACACAACAAACUAUAUUCGACCGGUUCAUUGAUACAUGAUUGAAAGUUAUUCUUAAUUUUUUCAGUAUGAAGGUCCACAAACACCCUCUGCUUUGGGUCCCCGGGUCUGAGGUCUGUCUGCGCCUGAGUUACCCUCCACUCGCUAAUUAUUGUCUCGUCUUAGCAUUUGUGUUGAUGCAGAUUUCCUUCAGUCAUGGAAAAAAGUCUUUACGUGAGCAUCCUCUAAAGCUGCAGGAAAAAUUGUGUAGCAACAUCACAACAACACUGCUGCUAUGAGAGAAUUUGCAUUAUUUUGAAUAAACCCACAGAAAGAUCUCACAUUGAGUUCAACUGCAAUGAACUUUGAAAUGCCAAAGAGUCCAAACUAAUAAUAGCUGUGGCUGUUACCGACUGAGAAGAGCAGCUGGCAGCAGUUCAGCGAGUUUAUUCAUGAACGUGGGUUUGGGCGAGCGGCGAGACCGACCCGGAGGGGAAAGGUCGGAUCACAGAGACGAGAGAAACCCGACGGAUGUCCAGCACACGAUCCGGUCGCUUCCUGUUGACCCGAGUGUCCAUCUGAGGAAGUAACAUGCUGACCUCCAACCGGCUAAUAGGCCGAGGGGACAUAUCAGAUAUCAUAGUGUCCCUGGCAAACGGGGCGGCGGGUCUAAUUGGAGCCGGGCUGAUUAUCUCGGGCUGAGUGCCGUGAGACGAGGACGGAGACGGAGGGACCGGUAGCUCAACUGACAGGUGGUAGAACAGCAAUUAUAAAACUAAACUUUGUUGCCUCUCAGAAAGCAGGUCUUAUUUGUAACGAGUGAAGUGAUAAAAGAAGAAAAUAAUUGGAUUUUUUUUUCAGCCUCCAAGCCUUAAAUGUUUUCAGCAAAGAGUCUUUGAACAAAGUGUAUUUCAUUCUAACCUUUGAUUAACGGUUCCCGCACUCGAGGCCGAGCCGCAAAAAAGCAAAUUAUUCUCAAGAUCAAGCUUUAGCCAUCUCAUUAUCUUUUUGCCAUCUCUCCUCAGUUUGUUUCCCUUCACUCGCCCCGACCGGCGAUGUUGUCCGUCCUGUGGAUGUGCUGGUGUCGCUUUAGCGUCUGUUUGUGUUUUUGCCUUUGUCGCAGCAACGAGAAAGCUGUGUUUCAUUUUCUGGGGCCAAUUAGUGACUCACCGACCCGCCUUCACUGUCCGUGUGCGUUUGUUCUGAUCCGGUCUAAAACAAAGAUCUCGCUGGUGGGCGGGACUUGAACCCAGAUGGCCACAAGCCUUAACAAAGUUUUAGCUCGGCCAAAUGAAAAGUGUUCAAUGCGACUUGUCAACUUGUGUGGAGGAGCAGAGGCCGCUUGUGAAAGACCUGGGGUGAAAGGUCAGGUCCGACUGAGUCGGGAAAUACUUUCAAGAAAAAGUAAACUGACAGACUAAGAGACCAAUUUGCUUUUCUUACCACCUUUUCUUUUCUUGAGGGAAGAAGCGAGGCGCCACAGAUUGUGAAGCUACUUUUUUCAGAUGAUAGUUUAUCAUCUUUCAUUCCCGAUGUCUCAUCGUUUUGGCAGAUGCACAUUUUUACCUUCAGUGUGAGAAGUUCACCGGAUCAAAACCAGGUUUUUCAUGACUAAACUUGCGGACUGCGGAGGAGUGGCGCAAAGACCUGUCAAUCAGCGUGUAGCCCCGGCCUCGUCUGCCAUCCGCUGCUUCCUGGUCUGUUUUACUGUCAAUGGACCAUAAUUUACUGUUGUGAUGAAGAUGAACUAGAUAGAGAUGAAACUAGAGAUUGAGACCAUGAACUCAUGUUUACAAUGUUUACUGAGGGAAUAAAUCAAGAGAGAAGUAGAGUCAUUUCCUCAUAGACGUCUAUGGGAGCAGAGGAGUCGCCCCCUGCUGAUCACUACAGAGAAGUAGAGUCAUUUCCUCAUAGACGUCUAUGGGAGCAGAGGAGUCGCCCCCUGCUGGUCACUACAGAGAAGUAGAGUCAUUUCCUCAUAGACGUCUAUGGGAGCAGAGGAGUCGCCCCCUGCUGGUCACUACACAGAAGUAGAGUCAUUUCCUCAUAGACGUCUAUGGGAGCAGAGGAGUCGCCCCCUGCUGGUCACUACACAGAAGUAGAGUCAUUUCCUCAUAGACGUCUAUGGGAGAGAAUGCAGUAUUAAGAAAGGAAGCUUUGGAUCCACACGGUAGAACCGGAGGAUGCUCACUGUUCUGUUACACAACAAUAUAAUACUGAACUAUCAUUCAGAAGUGAUGAUCUACAUUCAUCUUCAAAAAGUAAAGUCAGAUGUUUUGUAGCUAUUUUUGACAAAAAACGUGAUGCUCUGCAGCUUCCUCAGACGCUCAGACAUUCAUCCCACCUGUGGGGAAUCAAGAGGAGAUUUUCUCAUCACUCCUCUGUGAGCUUCAGCUCUGCAAACACUCGUCUCCUCCGGCGGCUUCGGUCCGCUGCCGACACAAACCCGGCGUUCAUCUCCCCGCUCUUUAAUAUUUCAUCUGCUGCGAUAUGAUGAGCGAGGACCCGGCCGACUCACCUGCAGCCGCGUGGAGAAUCUCGGGGAAAAAGACUCAAGGAGUUUUAUUAUUCUUAUUUUAGCGUUCUGACUCUGACAGUUUCAUCUCUGAAUUAUUAAAAGCGCCGCUACCUGCAGCGAGUUCUCCUACACAUUCACCUCACGGUCAGCCGCUCAUUAAUUAAUCACAACGCUCGACUUAUGGAUUUUAAUAUCCUGAAUCAUUUAUGUGGAAGCUUUAUUUUAACCGCCUACAAACAUCUAAUCAAUAUAAGGAACUAUGACUCUGUGGAUAGAGAGUCUUAACUGUGAGAAGUCAACUCAACUUUGGGAGAGUUUUUAUUUACCACACAGACUCCCCCUUUUCUCCUGUUUGCUUCCAGUGAGGAGACGUACCGACCUUCUGCCUCUGCAAACAUCAGCUUCAAGACUUUUAGCCGCGCUGAUUAUUUUCCUGUGACCUCCUCUCGCGAGCGGCCGCGGACUGGGGAGGGGGGAGGAAACGGCGUCUCUCUGGCCCGCUAAAGGUCGCCGUCUCAUCUCCUCGUUCAGCCGCCUGUCUUCGAUCCGGGUCACAUCUCAGAGGGAACUCGCACUUCACGGACUCGUGAAACAUGAAGUGUUCACCAAACAUAUCGUUUGAAGAGGAGAACACGUCUGAAUGAGGUGAGAAGAUGAAUAAACCAGUCAGCGGAAGGAUUCGCUUUAGGAGGCUUUGAAGGACGCUCCUCUUAGCGCCUCCUGGUGUCUCCGGGCUGAAGGGGGAGUCCACCAACAGCCCCUCCGGUUACACGGACGCUUUGAACUGUGGGUAAUCGCUCAGUGAGGAGCCUGAAUGUGCUGAGAGUUCUCAUCAUCCCCCCUUAGCCGACCUCUCCGCUCAACCUUUGGAAGGGAACCCGACAGACCACUUGAUGCCCCCCCGGCUGGAUUACAGCACCAGCUUCCUCUUCGUCCUCCAGACGGUUCCUCUCAAAGGGAAAACCAGCGAGAACAAAGACGCUGCAGAGCAUCAUCUUCUCUUCUCGGGUCCUGCACACUUGAACUCGACGGCCUACAGCUCCUCCGCAGACCAAACCGAGGAUCCUCCAGAAAGAGCUCAGACGUUCAGGAGGAAGAAAAACACGGAAAUAAAGGAGCCUGAAGUGAAGCGAGAGGAAAGACAACGAUGUGAUGCAACGCUGGCGAGAUCUCAGCGAACACAAACAAUAAACCUUCGGCUCUGUCAGCAGAGUUCAGCGCAACACUCCCGUCUCUGUCUGCAAUAAGUUCUGCAAAGACAGAAGUACCUCACUCCAGCUGUGUCAGCAUUAAAGGUACUUGUAGUACCAGGAGUAAAGGCAGCCCUCCAGCAGAAGAAUAUACUGUAUUUUACAACAUUGUACAUCAAUUAUGUGUUCAUGCGUUCAUCAGCUGGAUGACGUUUCAUCACUUCAUGUAGUUCCGAGUUGCUUUUAAUUACCACAUGUUUGAUCUUUUCUAUUCAUACAAUUAAAUCAAACUAUAUUUUAUCUAAGUAACACAAGUUAAAUGUAGUGGAGUAAAAAGUACAUUAGUCCCCUCUAGGUUGAAGUAGCAGUAUGAAGUACAAGUACAGCACAUGAGUAAAUGCAUCAACAUCUUGUGUAAUCCUUUUCUUUGUGUUUGACCUUCAUCUAAACAUCACAUUAUUCUACUUUUAGAGUGAGAUUUAAAGUCUGAUUGAGUUCAGCGGCGAAUCGAGAGACGUUUUCACACGUCUGUGAUAAAGAAACACUCUGAUAAUAAACGUUGUUAGAUGAUGGUUUUCAUGUUUAUUAUCAAGUCUUUUUUAAGCAGCAGAAACCAGUCGGAAGUGAAAAUGUGUGCAGUGCUUCUGCUACGUGGCCCUGGGCCUCCUUUACCCCCCCAAUUACCCCCCCCCCUCCUCGGCUGAUUAUUGAAACUGUCCUCUGGGUGAGAACGUACAGCAAUAACACGCAAAAAAAGCCAAUUGGGUUAAACAACAAGCACAUUGGCCCCCGUGCUGGAGAAAGGGCAGAAUCUAAUAGUCAGGUAGCAAUAUGUGAGUGGAAUUACAGCAUUAGUUUUCAUCAGUGUCCCCCCAGCAGCGAGGGGGGGGGGCACAAAUCUAAUUGAGAGAGAACGCAUUAUCUCCGCCAUUGUUUGCAGGCUUUUCCUCUUUUCUCCGUCGCUGGUGAAACUUUGGGCGGCGCCGUUGUGAGGAGACGAGGAGGCGUUGUGAGGAGACGAGGCGGAGUUGUGAGGAGACGAGGUGGCGUUGUGAGGAGACGAGGAGGCGUUGUGAGGAGACGAGGCGGAGUUGUGAGGAGAUGAGGUGGCGUUGUGAGGAGACGAGGCGGAGUUGUGAGGAGACGAGGUGGCGUUGUGAGGAGAUGAGGCGGAGUUGUGAGGAGACGAGGUGGCGUCAUGAGGAGACGAGGCGGAGUUGUGAGGAGACAAGGAGGCAUUGUGAGGAGACGAGGCGGCGUUGUAAGGAGACGAGGUGGCGUUGUGAGGAGACGAGGUGGCGUUGUGAGGAGACGAGGCGGAGUUGUGAGGAGACGAGGUGGCGUUGUGAGGAGACGAGGAGGCGUUGUGAGGAGACGAGGCGGAGUUGUGAGGAGACGAGGUGGAGUUGUGAGGAGACAAGGAGGCAUUGUGAGGAGACGAAGCGGCAUUGUGAGGAGACGAGGCGGCGUUGUGAGGAGACGAGGCGGAGUUGUGAGGAGACGAGGUGGCGUUGUGAGGAGAUGAGGCGGAGUUGUGAGGAGACGAGGUGGCGUUGUGAGGAGACGAGGCGGAGUUGUGAGGAGACAAGGAGGCAUUGUGAGGAGACGAGGCGGCAUUGUGAGGAGACGAGGCGGCGUUGUAAGGAGACGAGGUGGCGUUGUGAGGAGACGAGGUGGCGUUGUGAGGAGACGAGGCGGAGUUGUGAGUAGACGAGGAGGCGUUGUGAGGAGACGAGGUGGUGUUGUGAGGAGACGAGGAGGCGUUGUGAGGAGACGAGGCGGAGUUGUGAGGAGACGAGGUGGCGUUGUGAGGAGACGAAGUGGCGUUGUGAGGAGACGAGGUGGCGUUGUGAGGAGACGAGGUGGCGUUGUGAGGAGACGAGGUGGCGGGCAUGGACAAAAAAUGACGAUGUGAUUGUCCGCAUGGCCACGAGGCGCGUCGGCCCUUUGAUUCGUGUCAUUACAUCGAGGAAAUGAGGAAAGUGUUUGUCCCACUUUCCAUUCAUAUUGUGGUGACGCCGUGGUCGCGUCUUCCCGCUGGCGCUGAUUUGCUUCUGGGAAACAGAGAGAAGGACCGCCGCCGUCUCUCCCGCCCAACAUAAUUGGCCGUAAUGGCGGACUCGGCGAGCCGGUCCCAGUUGCUAGACGACCACAUUGAAAGCUUUCAAGUCGGGAGCCGCCAGCAAAAUAGGUCGUUACACGGGAUGUUUGGGGCUCACGGGGGGAGUGGAGGGAGGAGGGGUGUUGAAGGGAGCCAGUGGGACGUUUGAGACUUGACCCCAUGUACAUUACAUACAUGUCAUUACAUACAUGUCAUUACAUUACAUACAUGUAUAUUUCAUACAUGCCAUUACAUUACAUCACAUGUCAUUAAAUUGCAUUACAUCACAUACAUGUCAUUACAUUACAUUACAUACAUUCCAUUCCAUUCCAUUACAUACAUACCAUUACAUUACAUUACAUCCAUGUACAUUACAUUACAUUACAUCACAUGUCAUUACAUUCCAUUCCAU
This is a long non-coding RNA of Gasterosteus aculeatus aculeatus (three-spined stickleback), 6233 nucleotides long. The record is from Ensembl. Lineage: Eukaryota; Metazoa; Chordata; Actinopteri; Perciformes; Gasterosteidae.